Long non-coding RNA from Carya illinoinensis, 453 nucleotides. RefSeq lists it as uncharacterized. The transcript has 2 exons. Lineage: Eukaryota; Viridiplantae; Streptophyta; Magnoliopsida; Fagales; Juglandaceae. The record is from RefSeq and is a predicted model, not a curated record.
UGACAUACACUAUUGAUUAUAUAUCUCUAUUUUCCUCCUAAUUUAGAUCUCAAAUAAAAGCCGUUCAAACUUCAAAGUUUCCUAAAUUAUAGUAGACGAGUAAAAUAAGGAAGGUUACUAUCGUCGUUUUCAAAUUUAUCAACGGCCGCAAAUUUCCGAGAAAAUCCCGAAACCAUGUGCACUGCACAAAAGGAAGGGUGGUACUGUAAUUCUAUCUCCUCAUCCCCCUAUUUAAAUUUCCCUCACCACGCUUCCCAAUCGUAUCGAAACUCUCAAGGCUAUCGCAACAAUUUUCCGUCUCUCAGUCUCUCUCUUCCGCUUUCGUUUCUAGCCUCAGAAUUCUAGGGUUUCGUUCUCAUUCCAAAGCGCCGAAACUUUGGUUUUGAUCGGUAUUUCGGAAGAAGAGGGGUUCCGAGGAGUAUAUACCUAUUGUUUACAAUCUUUAUAUUAUUG